This is a long non-coding RNA of Zingiber officinale, 652 nucleotides long. RefSeq lists it as uncharacterized. The transcript is spliced from 4 exons. Lineage: Eukaryota; Viridiplantae; Streptophyta; Magnoliopsida; Zingiberales; Zingiberaceae. The record is from RefSeq and is a predicted model, not a curated record.
AGAUCCAAUGAUUUUAAAUCACAUUUUCAGAUUUGACUUAAUGUGUAGUGUCCAUCUCCAUUCAUUCCCUUAGUAGAUCAAGAAUGUCAUGCUAUAGAAUGUACCUCUUUUUUAUUGGAGAAGAUGAUUCUGUUUCCAUUUUGAUAUCAGGUUCAUAAGCAGGGUGUUGCACUUGGAAGAUCUGUUGACUUGACAAAGUUUGAUGGUUAUGACCAAUUGAUCGAGGAGUUAGAUCAGCUAUUUGAAUUCAAAGGAGAAUUGAUGGCUCCAAAUAAAAAUUGGAUGAUUGUAUUUACUGAUAAUGAGGAUGAUAUGAUGUUUGUUGGAGAUGACCCUUGGCAGGAAUUUUGUGCUAUGGUUCGUCAGAUUUUUAUAUACACAAAAGAGGAGGUCCAGAAGAUGGAUUCAAGUACCUUGAACCCAAAAAAUGAAGAUUGUCCUGAUAUGAAAGAGAAUGUCAAGGAAAUAAAAGGCAGUCAAUCUGCAUCAUCAUCUAAUUCAAAAAACUCAUAGGCUUAUCCUGCAAUAUCACUAUCAAGGAAGAAUGUUCAAAGGAAAGUACAGGCUAGGGAGAAGAUCACAUAAUUAACUACACGGGUCUAGUGAAAAUACUGAAGAAGUAUGACAAGAGAACAGGAGCACUUAUCAUGCA